Long non-coding RNA from Nilaparvata lugens (brown planthopper), 2299 nucleotides. RefSeq lists it as uncharacterized. NCBI's taxonomy places the organism in Eukaryota, Metazoa, Arthropoda, Insecta, Hemiptera, Delphacidae. The record is from RefSeq and is a predicted model, not a curated record. The transcript is spliced from 3 exons.
AUGCAUAAUAAUAAUAAGGUAGGUGUAACGUUCAUUUGCAUUUUGCAACAGAAACAUCUUCUUAUAGAGUAUUGUUUUACAGGCUAAUCUUUUUUUAUGUAAUGUAUUCAAAUGUAAUUAUAAUUAGGAUUGGGAUAAUACAAAAAUAUACUUUUUGCUGAGUGAUAUCUAUUACAUUGUGACAGAAUUUUGGUUUCUCAAUAAUUCUCAUCCUGAGGUACCGUAAGUUUAAUGUGGACUAAGUUACUAAAGUUGAAAAUAUUAUUUUAAAAUAGCAAAUUUAAUUUAUUUAAUAAUAGGCUAGCAACUUUUAUUAAUUUCUUUGUUCUAUCAUUAGAAUACUUGAAUAAUAUUAGAAGUAGGGGUACUGAAUAGGCUAAAUAUAUUUAGACCUAAUUCCCUAUUGUGAGAUAUUUAUGAAUUUCAUCUUCUUUUAAAUACUGUAGUUAGGUUACUGCAUCAUUUAUUCAAUAAAUUAAAUAAAAAAGGAUUUGCUAACAUAAGUGAUUUACAUGUAGGCCUACUGCAGUCAGGCUACUUGUUGGAAAAUCCAUUUAGAGAAAUGAUUCAAGAUUAAGCUUAGAGUGGUUUAGCCAAAUGUGGAUUGUUUUAUAAAAUAAAGUUUUUCAGUAUUUUAUAAAAAGUUCUCCAUUAACCAAAUUAUAAUCUGAAUGAAAUUCAACCAGACUCACUGAAGCCCUAGAGCUGAUUGGAUUGGUUGUUUGAGGAUAAUUUAUAUACGGUACUCAGACUACUGUAAUUUGUAGCAUCAUAGAGAAACAAUAGCAUAAAAAACAUCUCAUGGUGUUUAAUUUAAUGGUUUAGUAUAGGGCUCUUAUGUUGUAAAUUUCACUGUUAACUCAAGCCGCUGGUAUUUUGCUUUAUGGUAACUCAAUAUAAAUAUAAUAACUCUGGUACUAUGAGGUCCACCUAAUGGCAGCAUUUGAUAAACAUUGGUGUUGCUAUUCUUGUCUAUCAUUAGACAAAUGUCUAAUGAUAGACAUUUAUAAAGGAAAGGACAUAGAAAGGAAAGUAAGUAAGUAUCAAGUAAGUAAAUCAAAUUGCUUUGGAAAUUGAAAUAAGUUUAGCUCUAUCCUCAUGUUGCUUCACAUGAUUGUUUUUUUACAAUGUAAAAAUAUACCUAAUUAAUUAGACCUUACAAAAAGAUUUAAUUUAAAUCAUGAAAAUUUAUGAAUUACUAAUUGAAUAAUAUAUUUUCUUGACGAAUAAAAUAUUAUUUAUUAUUAUUAAAUAGAAUGCACAUUUAAUAUUAGGUUACAUCAGAUAUGUUAUUCCGAAUCAGCUAUUCACUAUUAUAGGAGCCAGUGGCAAUACAGGAAAUCGGCAACGCAGUUGUCCUAUCUUUUCUACUGGCAUUAUAGCAUUGACCUAACUAUAAGCCUACUUGAAUGAAUGAAUUUAUUUGCCAAAAACAAGAUACAAACAUAAAAAUUAAGGAAAUGUUAAUCUAUUUAAUUAGAAAUUAUAACAAAAUGAUAUCCUUAUUUAUGAUAAUAGUAUUAAUAAAUUAAGAUUAAAUUUAUGCUCACAUGCAUGAGUACAGUAGGUGAGGCAAAAAUACCUGCAGAAGGAAGAUUCCUUGUUUGCCAGUGUGACUCGUAUAAUCAGCUGUACUUAAGUAUCGCUGUAUUUAUUUACCCUCUUUAAAUGAGUAGUUUUCAUUUGAUCGCCAACUUUUUUCAUGCUAAUGUUAAAUUUAAUAUUAUACAAAAGUUUUCCUUAUAAAUUAACUUGAACUUAUUAUUUAUAUUUUACAGUGCCAAACUGAUCAACUGCAUCCUAAUGGAACGUUCAAGAUGUGAUUCAGUAACUGAUACGGUUGUUGCAAUAAUUAUUUUUGACCAAAUGAUUACGAACAAGCGCAGCUAUCUUUGGAGGGGUAAUGCACCUACUGAUAUCCCGUGAUAAGAACUUGGGAGAGAUUUAGUGAAAACCUGGAGAACGGCCACUUAGCUCACAAAUCUGAGCUGUUCACAUCAAGCUGAUAUUUGUGACAGCCAUUAUAGCUUUAAUCAUUUUCUCGAUUGAUCAAAGCACCACAGACUGCAUCGUUCGUCACCUCUGCCUUUAAGCGCGUUAUCACCUACUCCAAUAAGCCACCCCAAUAUCCUUAAUAAGCAAUAGAAGUUCUUAUCGACUGUGUAUGACUCAUUAAUAUCCAUGUUCUGUAUAAAUUUAUGUGAUAGGCCUACUGGUAUUAAUGUUGAUGUACCGUAAUGUUUUUUGCUCAUGUAUAAUUGAUAAUAAUACAUUAAAAAUAAAUAUAAUGUUAAAUAAU